CCUACGGGAGGCAGCAGUGAGGAAUAUUGGUCAAUGGGCGCGAUCCUGAACCAGCCAAGCCGCGUGAGGGAAGACGGUCCUAUGGAUUGUAAACCUCUUUUGUCGGGGAGCAAAAGACGCGACGCGUCCCGUUCUGAGUGUACCCGAAGAAAAAGCAUCGGCUAACUCCGUGCCAGCAGCCGCGGUAAUACGGAGGAUGCGAGCGUUAUCCGGAUUUAUUGGGUUUAAAGGGUGCGUAGGCGGAAUACCAAGUCAGCGGUAAAAUCGCGGGGCUCAACCGUGAGGGGCCGCGGAAACUGGGGACCUUGAGUGGGCGGAAGGCAGGCGGAAUGCGUGGUGUAGCGGUGAAAUGCUUAGAUAUCACGAAGAACCCCGAUUGCGAAGGCAGCCUGCCGGAGCGUAACUGACGCUGAAGCACGAAAGCGCGGGUAUCGAACAGGAUUAGAUACCCUGGUAGUC
Molecule: ribosomal RNA, 459 nt
Filed under: uncultured bacterium
Lineage: Bacteria
Description: partial 16S ribosomal RNA
Rfam family: Bacterial small subunit ribosomal RNA
Source: RNAcentral